CGUGCACUCUGCGAUUCAAGCUACUUUCGGGAAAUGAAGCAUAGCUUUUAUUCUUCUACAUGGAAAUAACUAUGAUAACAAUCAAGCAUCCCUCAUCAUCCUGUGGGAUAAUCUUACUGAAAAUUUGAAUGUCGCUUUGAAGAUGUGGAAGAUGAAUCUACUUGCUCACACAUUCAGAAAACGACACUUAUGAGAUUGCAUAGAAAUUUAAUGUCUCUACAGAACCUUGGUGGGAAUUGAGAAUAUUACAUGUGAUUUAAAGGCCAUUGUACAGCUAUUUGCUGGCUCCGAAGGACCCUCACCAGAUAUCAAAUCUGUUGGCACCUUGAUCUUGGACUUCCUGGUCUCCAGAACUAUGAGAAAUACAUUUCUGUUUUUUAUAAAUUACUAAUUCUAAGGGAUUUUGUUAUAGCAGCUCAAAUGGACUAAGACAAUUAGUCUAAAAUCUAAGCAUAUUUUACUUGACUAAACACUAUAAAUUUUAUUGAAAAACAUUAUUGUAAUUUAACUGUGGAUUUGAACAUUUUAAAAUAAAAAUAAGCAUGUUUAUGUUUGAUGUUGAAAUUCUCUGUUUCUGAAGUAGCGAAUGUUUUAGAAAGAAAUUCAAGGGGGAUAUUAGCAUAUGAUAGUCUUGUUUACUUCCAAUUAACACAGGAAUACUUUUUUCUGACAAACACUAAAAAUAGUUAAAAAUUAUGAAUCGUUUUUACCAAUGUGUAUCUUUGUAAACUAGGAGUUAAGACACAACACAUGUUUCCCCACUUUUCUCUUUUAUAGUGUGACAGUGUGAUUUUGUACUAUGAAUAUUUAUUAUAUGUUAAAGCCUACUUGCUUUUUAAAAAUGGAUUAUGAUCUUGAUCUUUUACUAGAUUGUAAGCAUCAUGUUCAUUUUAUUCACUAGCACAGGCCUGGCAUCUGUCACAGAGCACGGCACAUGCUAGCAAGCUCAAUAAGUACUUCUUACAUGAGCGAUUGUUUAGAUUUAUGAGUGAAUGAUGAUGACUCUUUUUCUCUCCCUAUUCCAUCCUCAGCUUCCUUCUUCCAUAUGUCUUUCACUUUACAUGCUUCCUAUUCUAUUGUUUUGAACAAUGUCUUGCUUGGUGUCCUUUUUUUUCUGUCACUGAUGUGUCUUACUCCUUUUCUCUUUCAGGAUAUCUUUCUAUACCCAUCUUUGUGUUUCUUCCUUAAACUUACAUUCCUGUUCUCUCCUCUGUUAAAAAUAUGAUAUGAAGUAAACAUUUUUAUCUGUUGUGUUAUUAAAUGAGUUUCGCCCUUUGCUGUUUAGAGAAUAAGGUAAUUGCAAUAUGUUUAUACCUUUUUUCCUCUUAAAAAGAUAAGAAAUAUGAUUCCUAUUGGAGUUUGGUUUUUAUUUUUAUUUUCUGUGGGAUUUUUUGUUUUAUGUGUGUUUCUGGAAGCCUAGAUUUUUUUAAGUGCUAAGCUACAGAAAUGUAGAAUAAUCUUACCCAAUCAACCAAAAACAAAUCCCCCAAAAUUAAGUUCAUCAAUUAAAUUUGUUUUCUAAACUGUUGGUGCUAUAAAGAUAAAACUUUAUUCUGCAUUAUUUCUGUGUUUGUUUAAAAUUAUUAUUGAGUUUAACUUAAAUUUAGAAACUUUUUGACUAAGAAUGUUUAGAGCACAAUAUUAUUUACAUAUAUAUAACUGUAAAUUAAGUUCAAAAAUAAAAUUCUUAUUCUUACAGUCUUAUCUCACUAAUACAACCAAAAUAACAUUAGUUAACACAAAGAACAUUAAAAACCAAUAUAAAUCAAAUUAAAGACAUUUAUUUUAUGUAUAAACCAUCAUUUAAAUAAAACUAUAUUAAGUGUAGCAUUUCAUUUCAUUUUUAAUUAUUUAUUCUUUUUGUUUGGAGUAAAAUGCCUUAUAUCUGUAUAUGUAUAUAUGCAUAAAUAUAUACAAAUAUUGAAACUAUAAAUAUUAUUUGAUAUUUUUAUAUUUUAAAAUUACUGCUCUUUUAAACAAUGCACUUAUUUUAACCACUAAUACUACUACUACAUUUAGCUAAAUCCCCGUAAAAUAAAAUUGUAUAUGUGAAUUAUUUUAAUACACACACAUGCAAAUGUUUUCUACUUAGUAUUACUAUAAAAUUGUUUAACUUGGUAAUAAAACCACACGCUGGUAUACUUCGCUGAAAUGUUGGUAUUUUAUAGAUUAUGAUGUUAAAUGUUUUUCUUAUAUUUUGUUUAUAACUUACCUACCUUACUUUGAACAAUCUCGCCUGUCAAAAUGCUACCUUUUUUCUAUAUGUGAACUUUCAUUUACACUAUUUUUUAUGGUAUAUUAGAA
Molecule: long non-coding RNA, 2304 nt
Filed under: Homo sapiens (human)
Lineage: Eukaryota; Metazoa; Chordata; Mammalia; Primates; Hominidae
Description: HSALNT0271972
Source: RNAcentral